This is a long non-coding RNA of Prosopis cineraria, 1088 nucleotides long. RefSeq lists it as uncharacterized. The record is from RefSeq and is a predicted model, not a curated record. The transcript has 2 exons. Lineage: Eukaryota; Viridiplantae; Streptophyta; Magnoliopsida; Fabales; Fabaceae.
UCCAUAGUCGCUCCUUGGCUUCGCCUUCGCCUAUAAAUCCCUCUUAUCAGCUUCUCCAUUUCUGCAUACCCAUCCUUCUCUCUUCUCUCCUUCUCAGCCUUCCGUUUCUUCCUCUUUCUAUUUCUCUGUUGCACUCAAACCCUUCAAACCCUCUUCGAUCUUUUUUCUCUCCCCCGCAGGACCUCCUUCCUCUCCGGCCUUCCGGCCAAGCAAGUCUUUUCAUUUCUGCAAAGCUGCAACUCCUUGCUUACUCCUUUCUCUCCUUCUCCUUCUGAUCUAGCUAGCUGGAAUAAUGGCGCUUUGCCUGCAAGCUGCAAGCAAGCCUGUUUAAUUUCCUAUUUGCAAAUGCUAGCUGCAAUAAUGGCCAACCACCACCAGGUGAUUGCUCAGGUCUGGACUGUGUGCUCGACUAAUUUUCUUGACGCAAAGGUUCUAUGAUCCUAAAUUUCUUGGCGCGAAGGAUCUAUGAUCCUAAUGAAGGUAACCCACCAGACAUGCUUGCUUCAGUUUUCUUUGCUGCUGAAUGAAUCGCUAUAUACGCUGCUGACAUGUUACUAAUUUUAAUGAUAAAAGGUCACGCAGGGUAGUUUUGAUAACGUGGACAUUAGAAUGCUCCAAUUAAAAUGGUUGCGUUAUCAAACUGGACUUGAGUCCAUCGCCCUUGAGGUGAGAUCGUCUUCACUGUCAUCGUUAUUUUUGAGCGGUGCAAUUGAACCUGUUUGCCGCAAGCAUAUAUGAAAACAUUGCUUACGGUAAUUGAAGCAGCUCAAAUGCCUCAUAAUCAUGUGCUUUCAUUUAUUACUACUUUGCCUGAGGAUGGAACAAGGUGAUGGGAUCGUUUUAAUCUAUGUAUCAUCGUAUUACUUAUGUUUGGCUACUGCUAUUGAUGAUUGAAGCAACCCAAGGUUGGGACUUUGAUUCAGCAACAAACGAAUCAACAUUGGCAAAACCAACAGCAUCACUACUCUUGUUUCUGCUUUUCUUUUGUUUUAUUUGGAAUAAGACAGUUUCUUAUCUUCGGAAAUUGUAAUCAAAGUGUACAUUUCCGUGGAAUAAAUGGAAGAAGAAAGGGGAUAUUAUUAUGAUAA